RNAcentral lists this ribosomal RNA (400 nucleotides) under phytoplankton environmental sample. RNAcentral's name for it is "partial small subunit ribosomal RNA". It matches the Rfam family "Eukaryotic small subunit ribosomal RNA", at positions 587 to 991 of the family's 1831-position model. The record is from RNAcentral.
AGCUCCAAUAGCGUAUAUUAAAGUUGUUGCGGUUAAAAAGCUCGUAGUUGGAUUUCUGCUGAGGAUGACCGGUCCGCCCUCUGGGUGAGUAUCUGGCUCAGCCUUGGCAAUUUCCUGAAGAACGUAUCUGCACUUGACUGUGUGGUGCGGUAUUUAGGACAUUUACUUUGAGGAAAUUAGAGUGUUUCAAGCAAGCGCACGCCUUGAAUACAUUAGCAUGGAAUAAUAAGAUAGGACCUCGGUUCUAUUUUGUUGGUUUCUAGAGCUGAGGUAAUGAUUGAUAGGGAUAGUUGGGGGCAUUCGUAUUUAACUGUUAGAGGUGAAAUUCUUGGAUUUGUUAAAGACGGACUAUUGCGAAAGCAUUUGCCAAGGAUGUUUUUAUUGAUCAAGAACGAAAGUA